AACGAACGCUGGCGGCAUGCCUAACACAUGCAAGUCGAACGAACCCUUCGGGUCUAGUGGCGCACGGGUGCGUAACGCGUGGGAACCUGCCCUUAGGUUUGGAAUAACUCCCCGAAAGGGGUGCUAUUACCAGAUAAUGUCUUCGGCCCAAAGAUUUAUUGCCUUUGGAUGGGCCCGCGUUGGAUUAGCUAGUUGGUAGGGUAAAAGCCUACCAAGGCGACGAUCCAUAGCUGGUCUGAGAGGAUGAUCAGCCACACUGGGACUGAGACACGGCCCAGACUCCUACGGGAGGCAGCAGUGGGGAAUAUUGGACAAUGGGCGAAAGCCUGAUCCAGCAAUGCCGCGUGAGUGAUGAAGGCCUUAGGGUUGUAAAGCUCUUUUACCCGGGAUGAUAAUGACAGUACCGGGAGAAUAAGCUCCGGCUAACUCCGUG
Molecule: ribosomal RNA, 433 nt
Filed under: uncultured bacterium
Lineage: Bacteria
Description: partial 16S ribosomal RNA
Rfam family: Bacterial small subunit ribosomal RNA
Source: RNAcentral